UGGGGAAUAUUGGACAAUGGGCGCAAGCCUGAUCCAGCCAUGCCGCGUGAGUGAUGAAGGCCUUCGGGUUGUAAAGCACUUUUGUCCGGAAAGAAAUCCUUGGCUCUAAUACAGUCGGGGGAUGACGGUACCGGAAGAAUAAGCACCGGCUAACUACGUGCCAGCAGCCGCGGUAAUACGUAGGGUGCAAGCGUUAAUCGGAAUUACUGGGCGUAAAGCGUGCGCAGGCGGUUGUCUAAGACCGAUGUGAAAUCCCCGGGCUCAACCUGGGAACUGCAUUGGUGACUGGCAGGCUAGAGUAUGGCAGAGGGGGGUAGAAUUCCACGUGUAGCAGUGAAAUGCGUAGAGAUGUGGAGGAAUACCGAUGGCGAAGGCAGCCCCCUGGGCCAAUACUGACGCUCAUGCACGAAAGCGUGGGGAGCAAAACAGGAUUAGAUACCCCUGGUAGUCCACGCCCUAAACGAUGUCAACUAGUUGUUGGGAUUCAUUUCCUUAGUAACGUAGCUAACGCGUGAAGUUGACCGCCUGGGGAGUACGGUCGCAAGAUUAAAACUC
This 555-nucleotide ribosomal RNA is filed under the name uncultured bacterium. RNAcentral's name for it is "partial 16S ribosomal RNA". It matches the Rfam family "Bacterial small subunit ribosomal RNA", at positions 355 to 902 of the family's 1533-position model. The record is from RNAcentral.